UGGUGCCGGCGGCGUGGGUCUUGCCGGUGGCGUCGGUCUUGCCGGGGGUGGUGCUCUUGCCCGCGGUGGUGCCGGUGCCGCCCGGCGCCGG
Molecule: transfer RNA, 91 nt
Filed under: Streptomyces naganishii JCM 4654
Lineage: Bacteria; Bacillati; Actinomycetota; Actinomycetes; Kitasatosporales; Streptomycetaceae
Description: tRNA-Thr
Source: RNAcentral